This 1198-nucleotide long non-coding RNA is filed under the name Mus musculus (house mouse). RNAcentral describes it as "long non-coding RNA chr7:63949455-63950653". Lineage: Eukaryota; Metazoa; Chordata; Mammalia; Rodentia; Muridae. The record is from RNAcentral.
GGCUUGGGUCUUCCCAGCAGCCUAAAUACCUCACUCAUUUUAAAGGGUCUCCCUUUCCUGUUACCACCAUGCUAGGGAUAGAACCUUACAACCCCCAAUGACUUAGGGAUGGAUUCAAUAGGCAAACCCUAGCGGCCUCUGUGCUCCAUGUUCUUCCUCUCCAUCCUUAGACUUAGAGGGGAGCUGGGCCUCUUGGACUGUCACUGUGUUGGAUCCAUAGUUUGGGUGGAAGGGGUUCUUUAAUUAGCCUACGGUAAUGGGAAUGAGGAAGCAAAACAACAAAAGUGUGUGAAAUGAGACUGGUGCCAGGAGUAAGGGCUGUACUUCAUUCUAUAGAGUGUUCUUCGAUCAAAAUGCAAGAUGCCGACACUCAGUACCAUCUUUGCUCCUUUGCAGGGUACCCAGGAACUAUCUUCAUUGGCUCAUGAUAUGUAACUGUUAGGUCUCAGAAACCCUGGACAAAUGGCUGGCUUGCUUAUUAACAUAUCAAAGCCAACACUGGCCAGCUCUCCCUGCAUCCCUCAGUACCUGUGGCUCCUCCUAGGUUACUUGAACCUUAACCUGAUCCCUAUGGAACUCAACCAUUUUGGUCUCUUGGCCUGGGACACCUCUCUUGAUCUGUGGCUUCUCUCCUGAUCUCCCUCCUACUCUCUCCUCUCAUGGUCAGGUUUAAUCUGCAGGCCGUGUUCAGCCUAUACACUUCCCUCUGCCUACUCUCUCCCUUAUAUCUACAAUAAAAACCUUCUCCAUAUUUUAUGCAUGAUCUCCUUUUAUUCAUUUUUAUUUCUCUUAUUUGGAGUGGUGGUGGUAUAGUUUGGGAUUUUUCUUUUUUCUUUUUUUCUUUCUUUUUUUGGUUUUUUAAGACAGGGUUUCUCUGUAUAGCCCUGGCUGUCCUGGAACUCACUUUGCAGACCAGGCUGGCCUUGAACUCAGAAAUCUACCUGCCUCUGCCUCCCAAGUGCUGGGAUUAAAGGCAUGUGCCACCAUGCCCUAGUUUGGGUUUUCAAGACAGGGUUUCACUCUGUUAUCCUGGCUGUCCUAGAACUCUCUGUAGACCAGGCUGGCCUAGAACUCACAAAGAUGCCUCUGCCUCCUGAGUGUGCAUCACCACUGACCAUUUCUCUCUCUCUCUUCCUCUCUCUCUCUUUCUCUCCCUCUCUCUCUCCCUCUCUCUCUCCUUCCCUCCCUCCCUCCCUCC